Molecule: non-coding RNA, 70 nt
Organism: Hypoxylon sp. FL1857
Lineage: Eukaryota; Fungi; Ascomycota; Sordariomycetes; Xylariales; Hypoxylaceae
Source: the annotation of a GenBank genome assembly
GCCCGGUUAGCUCAAUCGGUAGAGCGUGAGACUCUUAAUCUCAAGGUUGCGGGUAAGUCCAUCAUUUACA